CGGUCUAUCAUGCAGUCGAGCGAUGAAGAGGAGCUUGCUCCUCUGAUUUAGCGGCGGACGGGUGAGUAACACGUGGGUAAUCUGCCUGUAAGACGGGGAUAACUCCGGGAAACCGGGGCUAAUACCGGAUAAUAAGAAGAAACGCAUGUUUCUUUUUUGAAAGUCGGUUUCGGCUGACACUUACAGAUGAGCCCGCGGCGCAUUAGCUAGUUGGUGAGGUAACGGCUCACCAAGGCGACGAUGCGUAGCCGACCUGAGAGGGUGAUCGGCCACACUGGGACUGAGACACGGCCCAGACUCCUACGGGAGGCAGCAGUAGGGAAUCUUCGGCAAUGGGCGAAAGCCUGACCGAGCAACGCCGCGUGAGCGAUGAAGGCCUUCGGGUCGUAAAGCUCUGUUGUUAGAGAAGAACAAGUACGAGAGUAACUGCUCGUACCUUGACGGUACCUAACCAGAAAGCCACGGCUAACUACGUGCCAGCAGCCGCGGUAAUACGUAGGUGGCAAGCGUUAUCCGGAAUUAUUGGGCGUAAAGCGCGCGCAGGCGGUCUCUUAAGUCUGAUGUGAAAGCCCACGGCUCAACCGUGGAGGGUCAUUGGAAACUGGGAGACUUGAGUGCAGGAGAGAAAAGUGGAAUUCCACGUGUAGCGGUGAAAUGCGUAGAGAUGUGGAGGAACACCAGUGGCGAAGGCGGCUUUUUGGCCUGUAACUGACGCUGAGGCGCGAAAGCGUGGGGAGCAAACAGGAUUAGAUACCCUGGUAGUCCACGCCGUAAACGAUGAGUGCUAGGUGUUGGGGGGUUCCACCCUCAGUGCUGAAGUUAACACAUUAAGCACUCCGCCUGGGGAGUACGACCGCAAGGUUGAAACUCAAAGGAAUUGACGGGGGGC
RNAcentral lists this ribosomal RNA (889 nucleotides) under uncultured prokaryote. Its description in RNAcentral is "bacterial SSU rRNA". It matches the Rfam family "Bacterial small subunit ribosomal RNA", at positions 47 to 921 of the family's 1533-position model. The record is from RNAcentral.